This 446-nucleotide ribosomal RNA is filed under the name uncultured bacterium. Its description in RNAcentral is "partial 16S ribosomal RNA". It matches the Rfam family "Bacterial small subunit ribosomal RNA", at positions 354 to 796 of the family's 1533-position model. The record is from RNAcentral.
GUGGGGAAUAUUGGACAAUGGGGGGAACCCUGAUCCAGCCAUGCCGCGUGGAGGAUGACUGCCCUCUGGGUUGUAAACUCCUUUUGUACAGGAAGAAACCUCCUCAUUAAUGAGUGAGCUGACGGUACCGUAAGAAUAAGCACCGGCUAACUACGUGCCAGCAGCCGCGGUAAUACGUAGGGUGCGAGCGUUAAUCGGAAUUACUGGGCGUAAAGCGUUCGCAGGCGGUGAUGUAAGACAGUUGUGAAAUCCCCGGGCUCAACCUGGGAACUGCAGCUGUGACUGCAUUGCUGGAGUGCGGCAGAGGGGGAUGGAAGUCCGCGUGUAGCAGUGAAAUGCGUAGAUAUGCGGAGGAACACCGAUGGCGAAGGCAAUCCCCUGGGCCUGCACUGACGCUCAUGCACGAAAGCGUGGGGAGCAAACAGGAUUAGAUACCCCAGUAGUCC